GACGAACGCUGGCGGCGUGCUUAACACAUGCAAGUCGAACGGAAAGGCCCUGCUUUUGUGGGGUGCUCGAGUGGCGAACGGGUGAGUAACACGUGAGUAACCUGCCCUUGACUUUGGGAUAACUUCAGGAAACUGGGGCUAAUACCGGAUAGGAGCUCCUGCUGCAUGGUGGGGGUUGGAAAGUUUCGGCGGUUGGGGAUGGACUCGCGGCUUAUCAGCUUGUUGGUGGGGUAGUGGCUUACCAAGGCUUUGACGGGUAGCCGGCCUGAGAGGGUGACCGGCCACAUGGGGACUGAGAUACGGCCCAGACUCCUACGGGAGGCAGCAGUGGGGAAUAUUGCACAAUGGGCGGAAGCCUGAUGCAGCAACGCCGCGUGCGGGAUGAAGGCCUUCGGGUUGUAAACCGCUUUCGCCUGUGACGAAGCGUGAGUGACGGUAAUGGGUAAAGAAGCACCGGCUAACUACGUG
Molecule: ribosomal RNA, 468 nt
Filed under: uncultured bacterium
Lineage: Bacteria
Description: partial 16S ribosomal RNA
Rfam family: Bacterial small subunit ribosomal RNA
Source: RNAcentral